GAAUGUAAAGUUGGAAAAUGGGGACGUAACUGCGUUAAUGAGUGUAGUUCCCAAUGCAGAGAUCAUCCCUGUGAUAGAGUUACUGGACUUUGUCUCUACACUUGUGACAGUCUGACGGAUCUUUCCUGCCCUGCUGGUCUAGCAUCACAAACCAAUGAACUGACGUUUUUAUCAGGUGUUGGUAUUGGAAUAGCUGUUGGUGCUGUUGGUAUUAUCUUGAUUGUUGUUGGUGUAGUUGUUGUACGCAGGACCAGAAUCACAACAUUGAGAAACAGUAGCCAGGAUGACAUAAAACCUGAAACUCGACCACAGACUUAUGAAAGCGUGAAACAAAUAAACACAGACGAACACUCCUAUGAACCUUCUCGAUCUUCUUUAGAAACCAAGGUCGAGUUUCGUUAAAGGUAAACAGAAUGCAUCGUAGUCCCCUAAACAGUGUCCACUGAAGAAUUUUCAGAUGAUGUGGCUGGUCUGCAACAGUACUUCCCUCUGACAGGUAACGAGCAUCUUCUUAUGAAUGUAAAGGAAUGUGUCAGCGAGGUCAUCAGCAGCAGCUGUCCCUUCUUUGAUAUGAUCAUUUUAUGAAGAUAGAAUGAGAAGACGGAAAGAAAACUUAACAGACCGCCAGCGGACAACGGCUCUGCAAGAGGUAUGGGAAAGUAUGUAGGUCGCAACUGGGUCUGCGUUGUCAUGUGAAUCACUGCACGCAUCCUUAAUCUUCGGAAUCAAAUACAUUUCCAUUUAUAUUGUCCUUUCAGUUAACUUCAAUGGUCGCUUAAUCUCUAAGCCAAAGUUCUCGUACUUUGUUCGUUUUUUUAACCUUUCAGUUUUUCUUUUAUUAUGAGA
Biomphalaria glabrata is the source of this 846-nucleotide long non-coding RNA. RefSeq lists it as uncharacterized. The transcript has 3 exons. NCBI's taxonomy places the organism in Eukaryota, Metazoa, Mollusca, Gastropoda, Planorbidae. The record is from RefSeq and is a predicted model, not a curated record.